Molecule: ribosomal RNA, 450 nt
Filed under: uncultured bacterium
Lineage: Bacteria
Description: bacterial SSU rRNA
Rfam family: Bacterial small subunit ribosomal RNA
Source: RNAcentral
GAACGCGCUCCAUUCGGUAACAUACUGAUGAAGAGCGAGUGGCGAACGGGUGAGUAGCACGUGAGCAACCUGCCCCGAAGACUGGGACAACACCGGGAAACCGGUGCUAAUACCGGAUAUCCCUAUCGGACCGCAUGAUUCGAUAAGGAAAUGGGUUCCGCUUUGGGAGGGGCUCGCGGCCUAUCAGCUUGUUGGUGGGGUAAUGGCCUACCAAGGCAUCGACGGGUAGCUGGUCUGAGAGGACGAUCAGCCACACUGGGACUGAGACACGGCCCAGACUCCUACGGGAGGCAGCAGUGGGGAAUCUUGCGCAAUGGGCGAAAGCCUGACGCAGCAACGCCGCGUGGAGGACGAAGGCUUUCUGAGUUGUAAACUCCUUUCAGCAGGGACGAUAGUGACGGUACCUGCAGAAGAAGCACCGGCCAACUACGUGCCAGCAGCCGCGGUAAU